GACGAACGCUGGCGGCGUGCCUAAUACAUGCAAGUCGAACGAACUCUGGUAUUGAUUGGUGCUUGCAUCAUGAUUUACAUUUGAGUGAGUGGCGAACUGGUGAGUAACACGUGGGAAACCUGCCCAGAAGCGGGGGAUAACACCUGGAAACAGAUGCUAAUACCGCAUAACAACUUGGACCGCAUGGUCCGAGUUUGAAAGAUGGCUUCGGCUAUCACUUUUGGAUGGUCCCGCGGCGUAUUAGCUAGAUGGUGAGGUAACGGCUCACCAUGGCAAUGAUACGUAGCCGACCUGAGAGGGUAAUCGGCCACAUUGGGACUGAGACACGGCCCAAACUCCUACGGGAGGCAGCAGUAGGGAAUCUUCCACAAUGGACGAAAGUCUGAUGGAGCAACGCCGCGUGAGUGAAGAAGGGUUUCGGCUCGUAAAACUCUGUUGUUAAAGAAGAACAUAUCUGAGAGUAACUGUUCAGGUAUUGACGGUAUUUAACCAGAAAGCCACGGCUAACUACGUGCCAGCAGCCGCGGUAAUACGUAGGUGGCAAGCGUUGUCCGGAUUUAUUGGGCGUAAAGCGAGCGCAGGCGGUUUUUUAAGUCUGAUGUGAAAGCCUUCGGCUCAACCGAAGAAGUGCAUCGGAAACUGGGAAACUUGAGUGCAGAAGAGGACAGUGGAACUCCAUGCGUAGCGGUGAAAUGCGUAGAUAUAUGGAAGAACACCAGUGGCGAAGGCGGCUGUCUGGUCUGUAACUGACGCUGAGGCUCGAAAGUAUGGGUAGCAAACAGGAUUAGAUACCCUGGUAGUCCAUACCGUAAACGAUGAAUGCUAAGUGUUGGAGGGUUUCCGCCCUUCAGUGCUGCAGCUAACGCAUUAAGCAUUCCGCCUGGGGAGUACGGCCGCAAGGCUGAAACUCAAAGGAAUUGACGGGGGCCCGCACAAGCGGUGGAGCAUGUGGUUUAAUUCGAAGCUACGCGAAGAACCUUACCAGGUCUUGACAUACUAUGCAAAUCUAAGAGAUUAGACGUUCCCUUCGGGGACAUGGAUACAGGUGGUGCAUGGUUGUCGUCAGCUCGUGUCGUGAGAUGUUGGGUUAAGUCCCGCAACGAGCGCAACCCUUAUUAUCAGUUGCCAGCAUUAAGUUGGGCACUCUGGUGAGACUGCCGGUGACAAACCGGAGGAAGGUGGGGAUGACGUCAAAUCAUCAUGCCCCUUAUGACCUGGGCUACACACGUGCUACAAUGGAUGGUACAACGAGUUGCGAACUCGCGAGAGUAAGCUAAUCUCUUAAAGCCAUUCUCAGUUCGGAUUGUAGGCUGCAACUCGCCUACAUGAAGUCGGAAUCGCUAGUAAUCGCGGAUCAGCAUGCCGCGGUGAAUACGUUCCCGGGCCUUGUACACACCGCCCGUCACACCAUGAGAGUUUGUAACACCCAAAGUCGGUGGGGUAACCUUUUAGGAACCAGCCGCCUAAGGUGGGACAGAUGAUUAGGGUG
This 1489-nucleotide ribosomal RNA is filed under the name Lactiplantibacillus pentosus. RNAcentral describes it as "bacterial SSU rRNA". It matches the Rfam family "Bacterial small subunit ribosomal RNA". RNAcentral also lists the same sequence under 1 other name. The record is from RNAcentral. Lineage: Bacteria; Bacillati; Bacillota; Bacilli; Lactobacillales; Lactobacillaceae.